ACAUUGUAGAACACCUUACCUAGUUAUUUUACACCUGUAACAAUAUGAACUUGAACAUUGUCAAGACUGGAGACUGGACUCAAACAUGUUUUUGUUUGUUUGUUUCCCCCCAGAUUGAUCUUCAUGAAGAUCGUCAAAUAGUAAGGUGUCAUGAUUUAAUUGUGGGUGGCCGCCGUGUCCCCACUCUUUCUUGGCCGCUGUGCCUACAUCUCUCUGCAUUGUCCAACAUGGCCACGUUUUUUCUGUUCUCCUGCUUUCCAUCUGUCAAAUAGCUGAGGGUUGUACAUGGAGCAUUUGCCACAGGUUGGUUUUGUAUGUUCCUGUCCACCUUAUUGGGUGGUCUGAAAUCUGGUCCUCGUUGGUUAUAUUUUUGUGGAACUGCUGAGUGAUUUGAAAGAGUGAGGUGACUGAUGGAGUGUUUGAGAUUCUCUCUCUGAAUGAAUGGGUUGUGUGUGACUGAGAUGCCUGGAUUGAAUAGUUCAGAUGGUCUGAGAAUAUGAUUAUGUUCAGCAGUUCACAUUAAAGUAGAUAUGGUGUCUUGAAGGGCUUAGAUGCUUGAUAAGUUAUAAUGCACUAACAUUUCCUUUUUAGGUCCGUCUACAAAGGGUGAGUCCAUAUUUUUUCAUUUCUUCUCUGGGGGCUACUGUCUUGGCCUCCAUGUGUGCUAGGGUUUGCAGAGUAGGGGAAUAAAACAAAAGAAAACUUGUGCGUUGUAUUUUUUGCAAGUGAAGGUACUUAGGUGUCGGCAACUGACUUGCUAGUCUAGCUGCCGACAGCUAACUACGAAUCACACUGACAAUUCACAUGCAACGGUAAGAACACGCCUCUCUAUGGAGGCGCUUUCUUGCCUUGCCGCUGUACCCUUAAACACUUUUUCUUUCCAACUGUUUCUUAGGACGGUAAGUGACACGCAGGCCGCGGGCCACAUCGCUCUUCCGGCCACCGUGUCGAUCUGUCCUGGCCCUCCUCGUGCCUUUCCUCACUUUAAUGAGAACAUGUCUCUAAAAGGUAAAAAAAAAUAUCAACUUGAACUGUUUUCUUUAGCAUUAAAAUAUAGUGAUGUUGGAGGACCAGAUCUUUAAUGAGGUUUAAAUGGAUGUUGGUGUACAGUUAAAGUUAGAUGGUAGGAAUAAAGUUAAUGUUGUGCCUUGUGAACUCUGUCACAAGGCUUAGACUUCUUGGCCGCUGUGCCUUAUUUUUAUUUCUUUUUCUCUUUUCCAUCGUGGCCAUUAAUUUACCGUUAGCCCUAGCACGUUAAAAUGGAUCCUGGUGAUCUACUAACACAGUACCUGGCUUUGGAUGGCAGCUUUGCCAUUGCCUUUUUAUGGCCAUACGUCCUUUAAUGCAAGUAGGCCAUGAUCGCUAACUGUGCCCGCGCCUUCGUGGUCUACUUGUGUCAUUGUACGUCUGGCCUUGCGCGUAUAGUCAUUUUACAUAGACAAACAUGGGUGCCUUCCGCGUCCAUGCACAGUAAGUGAACUAACCUGUACUUUCCUUCUAGCAUCAGUCAAGAGGAGCACCGACAUCCCUGCAUGUCCAACUUAAUUAGAUCGCGUUUUAGUUCAGGUAAAAUUUCAAAUGUUAAGUGCAGUUUUUCUUUUUAGCUUGGCCGCUGUGCCAAUACUAUACCUGCUCUGAUCUCUCUCUCGCUCUCUCUCUCUCUGUCUCAGUCUCUCUCUGUCUCUCUCUGUCUCUGUGUGUGUGUGUGCCAAUUAGACAACAUUCAAAUUGUUUCAAAAACAGGUAAAAUGUUUACCUUUCAGGUAAGUAUUAAAGGCCUUUGCCGCAUGAUCUUUGUGGGUAAAUCGUGUCCACUUAAUUUAUAAAGUUAGUUUGCAUCUAAACAUUUACAAUGCCUGACACAAUGGCAUUACAAUAAUCUAAUUUUUUUGUUUAGCUUUACUGAGUGCAAAGGCCUUUAUUUACACACUGACACAUGCCAUGACUGUUGUCAGGCAUGUGUCACUGUCUCUGUCUGUCUUGAUGUUCUGUGUGUCUUUGUCGGUCUCUUGUGUCUGGUCUGUCUCGUGUCUGGUCCGCUUGUCUGUCCUUUGUCUGGUGUCUCUGUCUUGCUGUCUGUCUGUCUUGUGUGUCUGGUAUCCGUCUGUCUGUCCUGUGUUGGAUUUAGUCACUUUUUUAGUCUCAACUUAAAUGGAUGAUUUUAAAGUUGAUUAGUCUCGAGGCGUCUGAUUUCUGCAGGAAAUGAUGGUACUUUAUUUUGAAAUGGCUUUAAUUUAAAAAUGUAAUUUUGGUCUUGAAUCAUAGUUGCAACUUGGACUGUUGACAAACGUGGAAGCUGAUGAAUCAUGUAGUAAAAGCGUGAAAGUUUACUGUAGCUUGUUUAAAGUGCUGUAAAAACGUAGUAAUUGAUUAUGAUGAGCUAGACCAGGUCUUUAUUCUCAACUGGUAAUUGCUUUGAUAAGAUUUGAUAAGAACUGGUUCCUGACUUGAUUAUGAAGCUAAACUUUUGAUUUAUAUGCAAGUGUAGUCGCAUUAGGUGUAGGUGUUAUUCAGCCCAUGGAUAAUGUAAUGAUAUACUUUAAAUCUGGCAUUUGUUGGCACAUUUUUAAUAUCCAUUUAAGUCUUAAACUCACACACUGCCAUCAGCCUCUGUAGUCGCUAACUGAAAUCGCAUUCAAUGUUAAUGCUGACUUGUCUCACUCGCCAAGUUUAUUUCCCUCUAAAGGAGUUGAACCUUUUUGUGUUCAUAGUCUUUGCGCGUCAUGUUGGGAGGCCUCCCAGCAGGGGAUCUUUAUCUUCCCCUGCUAAACUAUGCGUUACUCGCCUUAGGGAUGCAGGGCUAUCCUGCAUAGUUUCUUUCAUAAAUUAGAUUGUAGGUUUCAGGAUUAGAGCGCGUUAAUUUUCUUUAGGAGGACACAAACCUGGCAGAGAGACAACUCGGAUUGUUUAAGUGAAAGUUGCGCCACAUGUUCGAGCUUUUUAUCUUUCGAUACGACUUGAAAUAAAACUUUUAUUCUGUGGGCUGAAUUCAGACAGAAAUCAGACAGAAUUUGGCUUCAUGUUAAAGACUGUUGUGCAAGUACCCUCUUGUGGCAGGAGUGAGCAGCUGCAGCUUUUUAAUUUAUUUUUCGUUGUUUGAUUUGUUUCUUGGAUUGACUUGGUGUCUGGAGCUUUGUGGUUAACAGUGAUCAUGUAAACGUGUAAACACGAGUGGUCUUUUGCCUCUUAUUUGUGAAGCUGGCAGCUGGUUGAAACGAUAGGACUUUAUGGCUUGCCCAAAGUGGGAUUUUUGAUAGAGCAUAGGGUUAACACCUCACCAUACACUAGCUAUUUCAGCGAACAAGUGUCUGUAGUCUGUUAUUACCCAUGACUUUCUUUCAAAUUUCACAAUUUAGGCAGCUUGUAGAGUCUUUAGGAAGAUGCUUAAUCCCAAUGUCUUGGUUGGUUGCAUGAGAAACUGCUAUCUCUUAGAUGUGUAGGCGAAGUUCCUCCUCUGAUUUUUGUAGACUUGCCCUAAAGUUUCUCUCUGCUUUAACUCUUGUUGAGCUAUGCAUUAAAUGAUUCCUCCGACUUGUCUCCAUAUCAAUUUUUUUCUCCCUGCAGCCUUCCACCACCCACUGCUGCUGUUGCAUCUGCUAAAGGUAGCCGUAUCCUGAUUCACUGCGUCUUCAUGUGUUGGGUAAGAAGUGUCAUUAGAUUACUAACAAUGUAAACACCUUUUAAAUGCUUGAUCUAAUUUACCCAAAUGGUUCAUCAGUUUAGGACAAAGAAAAAAAUCAUUGAGUUUGACAUUGUUGGGGUCAGUAACCUGACCUCUAAAUGUUUGGGAAACCAUGCAAAAGAUCGCAAGCUCUCUGCAUGACCCAACAGCAUCCAUGUUUGAGUUAUUUAAUUGCUCAAUUUUUAAAUCAGUCAAGAUUUUAUGAACUGGGUCUUCUUCACACAACAGAGAACAAGGUAAAUUGAGUCGACUCGUAACAUGGUAAGGCUUUUCGUCCUUCCCCUUCUUGUCUGUGUGUGAGGAAAUCUGGCCACGGAUCCUGACUGAGUGGCAUACCAUGGCUGUGCAGUUUCCAAAAUCAGACAAGGAUCCAUCUGAUUUUGUGACUCCACCUGAUCGUGAUAUGCAUUUAUCUUCCUCCUAAACAAAGGAUUGGAGUGGACAGGUUUGUAGUGUAAAUCACAUCACACGUAGAUGGUGAAGCAUUUGUUUAAAUUGGAAUCAAGCAUUUUCAGGUGUCUGCUUUGUCAAUACUCUGGUGCCACGUCUUGCUAAACACACGAGAAGCUCUGAAUUGUGAAACUGCUGCCUCUUGCAGAUGUUACAACAGCAAUGGCUGUUGAAAGGCUGCAGGGAGAGAAAAUGAGAUCUGAGGACAGGAAAGUGGAAUUGAUUUCAUGCUUAGCAAAAUGAGGGUUUCAGCAGAGGACCUUUUUGUGGCGAGGCUACAGAAUCAGAAGGAACGUUUGUCUGGGCAACUGGGAGAUUUUCAGUUUUUCAUGCAGCCGACCAAGACAUUGGGGUUAGCAUCAUCCCAAAUGGCUGGCAAAGAUUGCUUGUAACUGUCAGUGUAGGACAGGAAAGGCAGGUAUAGGUUAGGGAGGGCAUCCAUCGGUGAGCUCUGACUGGAUGUGAGGACCUGUCACAAUUGACCAGAGAUGAAGGCUGCAGCACAUUCCUGAUCAGAGGACUCCAUGUUGGACACCACGACCUGGAGAAGUCUCGUCCUGGAUGGCUGCGGUGAUGACCUAGCCCAAGAUGAACCGACCAUUCUCGACGAGGACUUCGCCCCAAGAUGAACCGGCCUUUUCUGCCUCUUUUCCACGGGAUGUCUUCAGAUGUUGGACCUUGCCAAACUGUACACGCCUCAAUGGCUGCUACGUCACUCUGCCCAACAGGACAUGGUCAUCGAGGUUUUUCUUU
Long non-coding RNA from Solea solea (common sole), 4885 nucleotides. RefSeq lists it as uncharacterized. NCBI's taxonomy places the organism in Eukaryota, Metazoa, Chordata, Actinopteri, Pleuronectiformes, Soleidae. The transcript is spliced from 3 exons. The record is from RefSeq and is a predicted model, not a curated record.